This 341-nucleotide non-coding RNA is filed under the name Perkinsus marinus ATCC 50983. Its description in RNAcentral is "Eukaryotic large subunit ribosomal RNA". It matches the Rfam family "Eukaryotic large subunit ribosomal RNA", at positions 1508 to 1846 of the family's 3401-position model. Lineage: Eukaryota; Perkinsozoa; Perkinsida; Perkinsidae. The record is from Rfam by way of RNAcentral.
UCCAAGUGAGACAUCUCACUUGGACAUGGGUUAGCCGAUCCUGAGAGACAGGUUAAAUUCCAUCGGAUUGGAGCUUUGGCUCUGUUUCUCGAAAGGGAAGCUGGUUAGUAUUCCAGCGCCGAGACGUGGAUAAUAUGUGGCAACACAAGUGAACUCGGACACGCCAUAGGGGACCCCAGGAAGCGUUGUCUUUUCUUUUUAACAGUUCGACUUACCCUGGAAUCAGAUCAUCUGGAGAUAGGGUUUUCGAACUGGAAUAGCACCUUGUCUAACAGGGUGUCUGGAGUGUUCUCGUUGGCCCUUGAAAAUCCGAGGGAUAGAUUUAUUCGCACUAGGUUCCA